AAGGUGGACAAGGGAAGAGGGACAUUCCAGUCCAAGGGACAGCUGGGCAGGGAGGAACAGGACGGCAGAAGACAUUUGAGGCUCUGCAUUUUUCUGCCUUGCGGGGAGCAGGCUAUGUGGAAGACCGACAGGGAGUUCCCGGUCAAGGAUCUUAUGUUUUAAUGGAACAUUCAAAAGCAGUGACAUCAGCAGCUCUACAUUUUAACAGAAUCAUCUGUGUGACACCGUGGACAACAGACUCCAGAGGACUGAGAGAAGCAGCUAAGCCAGAAGGCUCCCAAAAGGAACCAGAAGAGAAAUAAUGAAGAGCUGAAAUAAGGCAGUGGCGAUGGGGAUGAAGACCAGGGAAGAUACACAGACGGACUUCGGAGGAAGCAUAAAACUAGAACCCAACGACCCGACACAUACAGGCGGGACCAGGGAAAGGGUUGCUGGAGAUCCCAAUACUCAUCUAGUCUAGAUAAUGAGUGGGUCUCCAGACAGCGGUCUUGAGAAACACUGAAGCCAUGAACUCCAUAAGCAUCACAUUUCACAGUGAAAAAAUAUGACACACUGCUCUGUUGAAUGACAAGAAAACUAUUGGAAUCAUUCCAGCAAGAAGAAAAAUCUCUGGGGAAACUAUCUGCAAGUGGGACCAGCUAACGAGAUACAGCAGCAGCUUGUUCUAAAACUGUUCAGCAUCACUAGAACCGAGAGGGGGACCUUCUACUACCUUUGACCUUGGGAGGAAGCAUCAUUCUCAAGAGAUUUCCAUCCGUCACCAUCUACUCACUCUUCUCUCUUGGCUGGCCUCUGCAUAUGGGCAAAUGCAAACCAAACUCCGUGAGCUUCCAACAUCAAAGUGACAGUUAUAACCAAGUCGCUGGAGGCUCGAGUUAAAAGGAGAGUCAGAUACUUUCCGACGUCCUUAGAAGGCUAAACUGGUUCAAGGAAAACGAUCAGGAAAUGACCAGAUGUGUGGGCCCUGAGCUGGGCUGCAUCUGCUCCAUUCUGAGAAUAAACCAAACCUAGAUCUUCUCCCACGUGGUUUGACAGGCUUCCUAACUGGUACCUGCUGCUCACUCAGCCCAGACCACAGCUCCAUUAGGCUAACAGCUCUUUCAUUUCCCACUUGCCGGCUGACCACGACCCCAAAGCUAUUAGAAUUCUCCCUCCUUUAGAGCGUGGACUAUAAAGAACGCAGGAUGGCGAAACAGAAAAACGACGUUUGUGUCCCAGAUUCUACACCUGUUCUGCGUGACCUUGAACACACUGCCUCUUUCCAAGGACUCCGUAUCACCAUCUGCAAAAUGGGUAGGUUGGUGGAUGCCCUCGUGAUCCCAGCCUUCUCUCCCGGGUCCCCUCUCGGGGAGGCACCAAAGUAAGCCUCGGCUCCUCCCACGGUCCCCCCAUGCUGUUCGCAUUCCAGGGCACUGCAUCCUUACCUCCCACGCCGAGGUUAACCUUGCGGGGAUCUGGAUCCUCCCGGAAGUCCGCAGUGAGCUUAAAGACCAGAACUGGAGGGGCCUGCGGGACCUGGGCAAAGACUGACGGAGGCGCCAUCGCGACGGGAUCUGCCGAGACGUCGAGCGGGAGCCCAGAGCCGCUCGGUGCAGUGCGGGGCGCGGUGACCGGAGGAGACUCUCACCUUCACCGGCGGGCGGGGACAGCCCGCGGCUUCCAAUGGCCGAACCGCGUCCGGAACUUGGCAACGCGCUUAGCCAAUCACAACCUUCCGGCGAAGAUGGGUUAGGCGGGACAAGUCUCUACUAGCCAAUUCAAGAAGAGGAUCUUAUCGGAGGCUCGUAUGAUGCAACCAGUGCGAUUUACACCGGAGGAGGUGUGGGCGGGGACAAGGGUGAUUGGCAUAGCUUGUUCCAAUCGCUGAGGCUUUUAUUCCUUGGGGUGAUGAGGAUGUUGCGCGUGGCUCGAGUCCCCAGAGGACAGGCUCCUUGCCCUUGUGGCGCCUGGAGACCUGGGGCAGUGGCCCGCCCGUGGGAAUUGCAGAGGACAGGUGUUCCUGUACCUGCUGAGCAGGUGGUUGUACCCGCCAGGCCCCCGCAGUGCUCACGUUCCGGAGCUGGCCAGGCAGGGCUGACAGCCAAGCCCCCGGCAUUUGGGCGCAGAACCCGAGUGGUCCGCCUGGACACGCUGUAUCCGAGCCUGGGUGACCUUGACCAUCUCCACUCAGUGCUUCCCCAGAAAGAAACCUGGGAGUGCUUUCUGCCUUGAGCGCUGGCAGGGGGGACCCUGCAGAAAGUAAGGGAUGAGCGCAUGCUAGUUUGAGAAUUUUACUCCCCGGUAACUUACAGAAAGGGGGGGCCUGGUCCUCAAGGACCUUGAAGGAUCUGGCGAGGCCUCCCACGUGUACUGUCAUCGAUUGGCUGAUACCCAAGCUACUGCUGCUUUUUGUCAGGCGGCUCCUUCCCCCGAGACUAUUUCUGCCCAGAUCCUUUCUCCACUGGUUGACCUUGAAGAUUCCGUCUGUCAGCCCUCCAUAAAACCUUUCCUCAACCCUCAGGCAGGUUAGAAAUCUCUCUUUUCUAUGCGUCGGACGUUUUGUUGUCGACAUUACAAUUUUAGAAAACGUCCUGAUGAGUAGGAACCUCGCUCUGGAGCCAGGAAAGUUAGGUUUGGAGCUGGCUGCCACUUACUAACUUGGGCAGGCCUGUUCCUGCUCUGUAAAGUGGAGAUAAUAGUGUUUUCCUCGGGGUUGUUGUGGGGAUUAUGUGUGUUAAUACACAUAAAGUGUUUAGUUGCAUACAGUAAGUGCUCUCUAAAUACUAGCUUUGUUACUGCACCCCACCCACACCCCCUCGUAAAUGAUAUGCCGCUUUGCCUGGGCUCUGGCAAGCCUCCCUCCGUUCUUACACUAAAUAUUCAACAGAUGUUGGAAGGAGCUAGUUCCUUGGUAUUUCAUGAGAAAACAGUAUCAUGGCUUUCUUAGGAGAACAUAAUAAAUCUUCACAAGUUUUCCAUCCAAACAUAAGCCUGGGAACUUUGAGCAGUACCUGCUGACCUUUUCUGUCUUUUUCUUUUUAAAAACACGGCCUUGUUUUUUAAGGUGACUGCCCACAGUGUCUCGCUGUUCCCCUCUAACAGUCACAAGCUAACACUGAAGGUCCAACAGCCCUCGUGUCCUCUUAGUGCUUCCAAAAAUCACAGCCUGAGGGCUACUGUGAAGAGGUUGUUUCUGCAACCUAGCCUUCCUGGAAUUUGAUUUAGAAGUAUGGUCUUCACGGCAUUAGCCAACAAUGUCAUGGUCACUCCCUGCGUCAUUCCCGGAGUGAAAAGCAACCCUAGGUUACCUAAACACUGUCAGUGUGGCUAAGAUCAAGUAAAUAUUUGUGUGUGUGUGUGUGUGUGUGUGUGUGUGUGUGCAUUCGUUCUGUUAUGUACAAAGCAGCACGUGUGUGGGUAAAUAUGCACAUGUGUGCACAGGUGUAUGGGCCCAAGGUGAACGUCAGGAAUCUUCCUCAGUUCCUCUCCACCUUAUUAUUUGAGACAGGGUCUCCCACUGAACCCAGAACACACAAACUCUUCUAGACUGUACGGUCAGUGAGCUCAGAGACUUGCCUGUCUCCGCUCCCCAGCACGCGAGUUACAAGCAUGCUAUCACAUUUGACUUGUUCAUGGGUGCUGGGGGUCCAAACCCAGGUCCUCCUGCACAGCAAGCACUUUGACCAACUGAGUCAUCUCCACCAUCACACCCGUGGCGAUAGUGUGCUGGGGAGUUUCAUGUUUAACUUGAUACAAGCUAAAGUCAUCUGAGAGGAGGCAACCUCAGUUAAGAACAUGCCUCCAUAAGAGCAGGCUGGAAGCAAGCCUGCAAGGUAUUUUCUUAAUUAGUGAUUGAUGAUGGCGGGCCCAGUCCAUUGAGAGUGAGACCAUCCCUGGGCUGAUGGUCCUGGGUUCUAUAAGAAAGCAGGCUGAGCAAGCCAUGAGGAGCAAGCCAGUAAACAGCUCAUCUCCCCGCCCUCUACAUCAACUCCUGCCUCCAGGUUCUUGCCCUGCUUGAGUUCCUGCCCUGAAUUCCUUUGAUGAUGAACAGUACCGUGGAAGUGUAAGCCAAAUAAACCCUCUCCUCCCCAAAUUACUUUUGGUCACGACAUUUCAUCAUAGGAAUAGUAACCCUAACUAUAUAGGGACAAAGAAAGUGUUGUGUGCAGUUUCUCUUCCUGUCCCAUUUUACACCUGAGUUUUAGGGGAUUGGAAAGGUGAGGAAGGAAGCCUAUGUUGUGUAGGAUUCAAAUGUUCAUUUUUCUUUCUCAGUAAUGUGAGUCUUUGGGAUUGUGUUCAGAACUCUUCUGUCUUGAGCCUUGUUAAGCUACCUCCUAAAUAAAAUACCAAACUUGAAAUAAA
This is a non-coding RNA of Peromyscus maniculatus bairdii (prairie deer mouse), 4341 nucleotides long. The record is from RefSeq and is a predicted model, not a curated record. Lineage: Eukaryota; Metazoa; Chordata; Mammalia; Rodentia; Cricetidae.